CAUAGGCAAAGGGAUCAGACAACUAAGUGGCCAAGAGAAAGAGAAGCCAAGGAAGAAACCAGAGAAAAGCAGUUGGAGAAGCAAGAAGGCAACCAGAAGUGGCCUUGGUACAGCUGUGAUGGGGAGACAAUGACGAAACAGCAGGAACUGGCACUGAGAGUUAUUGGUGUAGCUUGGGCUCUCCCCUCAUCAUCCUCUCCAGCUGGGAGUCAUGUGACAGAAGCAAGAAGCCUGUCACAGCGCACAUGUAAAAGAGCAAACUCCAGACACACACGUCUUAUCUGUGCUGACGGCCCACCUUGGUGACUGGAAAUGACACCAUCCAAUUUUUUCUGGCCGCAAUGUUGCACCCCUGAUUUUUUCCUUCAUAUGACAGACUUCACAGCAAAUACUCCUACUGAGUCCAAACAACCGCUACGAUUGAGAACAAGCAUGAAUCCGCCACCCACCUUCUCCUGGAAAUAAGGUUAUUGGGUUGCUGAACUCCCAUGAACCAAAAAGAAAACACUGAAUGGUAUCCAAACCAGCCUGGAAAGGACAGCGAGAAAAGCCAGAACCAAGGCUGACCAGCCUGAAUGCUGAUUUCUCUAUUCAUGCUACUCAACAUCCCAAAAAGAAUCAGCAUAAGGCCACAAACUCAACAAAAUUCCUUCUCCUGUUCAUUAAACUCCUGUCCUGACUCCAAGUUCACACCUAAAUAAACAGGCAAGCCUGUGCUCUGCACCCUGAGGAACAGUCUCCUAGGCUUUGUCCUUGCAGAGAGCCCAUUUCCAAGGACAGGCCGUCCAUCUACCCAGCUUUUCUCAAGGCCACAUAGCUCCUCUCUAAAGACAGCCAUCCCCAGGGGUUCAGUUGAUCCUGACAGCUGCGCCUACAGAGAAAGAAGGGAAGAGAGAUGGGAGAGGAAGAUCUCCCAGGAGUCAGGAUGCAAGGUGAAGCCAGCUGUUGAUCAGCGGUCACUCAGCAGCUAGACCAUGCGACACUCUCCUUCUGAAGGCUGCAGGCUGUGAGAGUGUUCUGAGUGGCAUUUAAGGAUAGCUCCCAUGCAGCGUGCCAGCUUCGGCAGGGCCUCCUAUGGUAAGCCCUAAAACACAGAGGGAAAAGAAUAACCAAGUGGAAGUGGAUCAUCAUGCCAUCUAUCAGAGACAAUGCAUGUGAGAAUGCUGCUACUAAAUGAAUGAAAAACGCUUUGUAAACUCAAAGUCUGUGGUUCUCAAACUUGAGCAUGUAUCUUUUUUUUUUUUUUUAAAUUAAAACGCUGAUUUACUUGGCCUUA
RNAcentral lists this long non-coding RNA (1276 nucleotides) under Homo sapiens (human). RNAcentral's name for it is "long intergenic non-protein coding RNA 2412". The record is from RNAcentral. Lineage: Eukaryota; Metazoa; Chordata; Mammalia; Primates; Hominidae.